CUCGCAGGGACAGCUCCCGUACCAGCAAACUAUUUUGAACCCGUGCUCCAGGGACCCAGCGAGAAACUUCUCCGACGUGACCACGUAACGACGCUGCGAAAUUACGCGACGCUAAACAAGUGGGCCAGGUUUCGCCAGCAAUAAAGAACCCAAGAGCAAAACUCCUUAAUCCGCAAACAUUAAUCCGCCCCCAAGCCUCCAGGUACAGUAUUGGCAACGCGUGGUUCCUGACUGGGAAUGCUCCUCGAAUCGUUUCACCCCCAAGAGGGAUGAACGAAGCACCGCGAGGAGGAAGGCAUUCUGCUUCGUGUACGUGCGUGACGUCAAUAUGUCCAAGAUAAUAAGAUGGCCGGCGAUAAAGUGGUGGGUGUAGAUACAAGAUAACAAUCAGCUCCAGUAGCUCCUGGCCAUCUCGUGAUUACAGGCUUAGCCUCCAGUCUCGGCGUCUCUCUUUCGCCUUGCACGUUGCGCCUCCCGUCCUCCGACCCAUUCCCAUCCCCCUCGACCAGGUACCCAGAUCUUUCCUCGACGUUCCACGUCCUCUCCACCUUCUUCUUCCUUUUCCUUCGCGGCUCCGUUCGUCGGGCUUCCUCCCGAAGGUUUUACGAUAUAUUUCAUAAGCGACGUGGACUGCCUCUACCCACGAGGGCACCCGCGACCGUCCUCGUUCCUCCCGUUCCAAGCCCCAGUCUCCGGUCUUUCCGAUUUUCGCACAUCGAAUAUUACAGCCUGACGGUGCAAAACGAGAAGGAGCCGCCGGUUCGGUACGACGGCGACGCUGCCAGGGCGUUUCAUCCCCCCUUUUGGACCUCUCUCUCCAUCCCUCUCGGCGGCCCUUUCGCCAGAGGUACCUCUUAAUAAUAAUUUUGAUCGGCAAAUUGGCGUGGUGCAUAUUUCAGGCUUCGAUCGUUAUCUCGCGAAACUUUCGGCCCUACCCGAGGUUUCGUUGCGCGCCGAACUGGGCCCGAUGCGUCGAAGAGAAAGAGGGGUGGCCGAAACGAGGGAGUAGGGUGGAGGGCCAGCCCGCGGGCUC
Long non-coding RNA from Hylaeus volcanicus, 1033 nucleotides. RefSeq lists it as uncharacterized. The transcript has 3 exons. The record is from RefSeq and is a predicted model, not a curated record. NCBI's taxonomy places the organism in Eukaryota, Metazoa, Arthropoda, Insecta, Hymenoptera, Colletidae.